UAGAGUUUGAUUCAUGCUCAGAUUGAACGCUGGCGGCAGGCCUAACACAUGCAAGUCGAGCGGUAGCACAGAGAGCUUGCUCUCGGGUGACGAGCGGCGGACGGGUGAGUAAUGUCUGGGAAACUGCCUGAUGGAGGGGGAUAACUACUGGAAACGGUAGCUAAUACCGCAUAACGUCGCAAGACCAAAGUGGGGGACCUUCGGGCCUCAUGCCAUCAGAUGUGCCCAGAUGGGAUUAGCUAGUAGGUGGGGUAACGGCUCACCUAGGCGACGAUCCCUAGCUGGUCUGAGAGGAUGACCAGCCACACUGGAACUGAGACACGGUCCAGACUCCUACGGGAGGCAGCAGUGGGGAAUAUUGCACAAUGGGCGCAAGCCUGAUGCAGCCAUGCCGCGUGUGUGAAGAAGGCCUUCGGGUUGUAAAGCACUUUCAGCGGGGAGGAAGGCGGUGAGGUUAAUAACCUCAUCGAUAGACGUACCCGCAGAAGAAGCACCGGCUA
Molecule: ribosomal RNA, 500 nt
Filed under: Klebsiella pneumoniae
Lineage: Bacteria; Pseudomonadati; Pseudomonadota; Gammaproteobacteria; Enterobacterales; Enterobacteriaceae
Description: bacterial SSU rRNA
Rfam family: Bacterial small subunit ribosomal RNA
Source: RNAcentral